RNAcentral lists this ribosomal RNA (441 nucleotides) under uncultured bacterium. RNAcentral's name for it is "partial 16S ribosomal RNA". It matches the Rfam family "Bacterial small subunit ribosomal RNA", at positions 338 to 795 of the family's 1533-position model. The record is from RNAcentral.
CCUACGGGAGGCAGCAGUGGGGGAUAUUGCACAAUGGGGGGAACCCUGAUGCAGCGACGCCGCGUGGGUGAAGGAGCGUUUCGGCGCGUAAAGCCCUAUCGGCAGGGAAGAAGGAGGACGGUACCUGACGAAGAAGCCCCGGCUAACUACGUGCCAGCAGCCGCGGUAAUACGGAGGGGGCAAGCGUUCUCCGGCUUUACGGGGUGUAAAGGGGGCGGAGACGGCAGCGCAAGCCAGGAGUGAAAGCCCGGGGCCCAACCCCGGGACUGCUCUUGGAACUGCGCGGCUGGAGUGCCAGAGGGGCAGGCGGAAUUCCUGGUGUAGCGGUGAAAUGCGUAGAUAUCAGGCGGAACACCGGUGGCGAAGGCGGCCUGCUGGACUGCGACUGACGUUGAGGCCCGAAAGCGUGGGGAGCAAACAGGAUUAGAUACCCCUGUAGUC